UGACACUCCCUCCCGCCUCACCCAGGCGGGAGCAGUCAUUCGAAGAUUAUCCACCCUUAAAAAAAAAUGUACUGAAGCCUCUGAUCUUUCUUCGCUCGUGUCGGAUUAUUGUUCCGUUGGAUCAAGAGAGUGCAUCUGCAUUGGUUCGUACACAUAUCUGCAUUGUAAUAUCUCCUGCGUAGUUGUAGUAAACCACUGGGUUCGCAACCGUAGUUGAAAAGGACUUCAUGAAUUCAAACAGGUGGAAUAACAUUGGGAUAUUUUAUUUAUAAUUUAUACUACGAUCUCCUUUCCUGAUUCAACUUGUUUGCCACGUGUAAAGGUUAUUGCAAAUACUUCGUUUAUAGAGGAGACCCAUACUCCAGCAGUGGACUGUCAUUAGAUGUCGAGGUGGUUACAAUAAGGUCGGUCUUCGAAGCUGAAUUAUCGAGGAACGAGGACAGACCACGAUAUGAAUAACAUCUAUGAAAUCACGCCGUUCAAUUCCCUAAGGGGUAAGCUCAAAUGUAUACAAACGCAUGGCACACUUAAAAUGACACAAUGCAAGGUUCUAAGACAUAUGACGGUAACGUAAAGGGUAUGGGGCAAUUUGUUUAAGGGUAAGACGACACGUGUUGACAUGGUGACGUCAUGACGUGACCUGACGUGACGUGGGACAUAAGGUGAGGUUAAUUAACUCCAGUGAGUGAUGACCAACUGGCCUUUAUAAUAUGUCACUGUCUUCAUGAAGAGGUUGGGAAUAUUGGAAUAGGAAGACACUCUCGUAAGGUUUUUGUGAUGACGUGAUUGUUGUAUGAGUUGCACUUAAAUAUCGUGCUAUCUCUGUCAUUUUAUAAUGUUUGUAAGUUUCUAAAAUUUGGAGUGAUAGAACUAUAUUUGUAUUAUAACUUCGUGAGACAUACUAAAUAAAUUAUUAUGUUUUCGGCUUACUCACGUAUCUAAUAAUCAUCUACACGACAGCCGCCGCGGUGCGGGUCGCGGAUUGCUGCUCAUGAAUAUGAGCCUCUAGCAUGGCUUGAAACUAGUCGAGUUCCUCGUCAAAUUAUUACAUGAGUAAGCCGAAAACAUAAUAAUUUAUGACAGAACUAUAUUUAAGCGCGAUUUGAAAUGGAGUAGCCUUUUCGGUGUUAUUCUAUGAUACUUGACAGUUAUUGAUCUUGAAUAAUAUGCUUCUGGGUCGAAAAAAGUUUUUUUUUUAUUGCGA
Molecule: long non-coding RNA, 1204 nt
Organism: Spodoptera litura
Lineage: Eukaryota; Metazoa; Arthropoda; Insecta; Lepidoptera; Noctuidae
Source: RefSeq, a predicted model, not a curated record